ACAUCCAUCACCUUAUAUAGCUACAGAGAAUUUUUUUUCCUUGUGAUGAGAACCCUUAAGAUUUACUCUCUUAGCAGUAUACAAAUACUGUAUUAUAUAUCUUUCACACAUACAAUACAGUUUUGUUAGCUGUAGUCAUGUUUUACACUACAUCCCCAGAACUUAUUUAUAACUCAAAGUUUGUACCUUUUGACCACCUUCACCCAUUUCUGCCCCGCCUCAGCCCCUUCCUCUGGCAAAAAUAGUCUCUACGUUUCUAUGUUGUGUUUCUAUGUUCUUUUUAGAUUCCACAUAUCAUUGAGAUCAGAGUAUUUGUCUUUUUCUGCCUGACUAAUUUUACUUAGCAUAGUGCCUUCAAGGUCCAUCCUUAUUGUCACAAACUGACAGAAUUUCCUUCUUGUUUUCUUUUUUGCCACGCCAUGCAGCCGGCAGGAUCCUAGUUCCCUGACCAAGGAUAGAACCUAUGUCCCCUGCCGUGGAAGUGCAUAGUGUUCAUCACUAGACUACCAGGCAAGUCCCACUCCUUUUUAAUGGUUGAAUAAUACUCAAAUGCACAUAUAUACCAUGUCUGCUUUAUCCGUUCAUCCAUUGAUGAACACUUAAAUUGUUUCCAUCUCUUGGCUAUUGUAAAUAAUUCAACUACACUUUAAAGAGUAUGUUUUUUAUAAUUAAUCCAGAAUUUAGUAUUCUCAGGCGAGGAUUUUCAUAGUUGCAAUCCAUAAUCUUACCAGAAGAGCAACCCCCACAUGUGUAUUGAUCUAUUCAUUUUUCAUACCCCACCUAAUUCCAAAAUUAUCUUAGGUGGCCUACAGAUAUUGGUGUGGUGGAGUCAUCUGGUACUGGCUUAUGAGAAAUUUAUUGUUAAACUUUUAAGAAUCUUGCAAGCCGUCUAUUAAACACAGCCGUCAUUAAAAAUUAAAUUAUAUAAACUUACAAUUAAACAAAUUAUUAAAAAUGUAAUAAAUACUCAAAUUCAUCACUUUCUAAUUAUGUUUCACUGUUAGUUAUAUUGUUGAGGUUAUUUAUGUCCAUUGUAUCUGCAUGGUGAAAAUGCUACAGAAAGGUGUCCUACUGCACAUCUCUUCCUAAAUCCACGUUUGACAGCCUCAUGUUAGUAUCUUGAAAUUGGCCAUGGUAGGAGUAUUUACACCAGGGAAAUGGGCACACAUUACAAAUCAACCCUUUAUUUAUUUCUUUAUGGAUUCUCUAAGUUUCAUAUAGUGAUGAAGAGAAUGAGAACAGUGCAGAGUAAAUACUCGUGUGUCAUAUCCACAGCAGUUACAUUCUGAAUAGCACAGAAAGGUGAGGGAAUACUCUUCCAGUGUUUGGAAGCAGUUAACGAAUUUAGCAAAAAAGUUGCUUACAUGGGGAAGAGUGAGUGGAUUUCUGACACAUGACAUAGGUCUUUGUUGUUUCACUUUUGUCUCCCUUGUUAAAGUAAAUGGAAAUAUCAACCAACAUUCAUGUCUAAACUAUUCUUAUUUAUUGAUUGCAACCACAGGUUGGCUGUGGAUAAAGGAUUUGACAAAAAUGAACAAAAGCAUUGUAUGGGAAUCAGUUGGCUGCUUGGAAUUGACAAUAAGUAUUGUGUAUUUUACUAUUAUUCGUUUGCUGUGUAUUAUACAUCCUUUAUAGCAGCACGUUUGUAAUAUACAUGUACAUUGUUUUCAGAGAGCUGGGUGUGGAACAUUCACCAGCACACCUCUGCUUACAGGGACAUGUAUAGAUACACUAAGGUAAGAUUUGAGGUAGAUGAGAAAGAUAAAAGGAACAGCAAGGAGGGGGCCUCACUAGAGCCGGAGAUGAUGCUAACAGACAAUUCCAUAUUAUGGAGGGCAGACAUGGGGCAUGGUGGGCUGCAGGUUUGCCUCUAAGCUUCCCAGCACAUCUUAUUAAUAUAUAAAGGGAAAUUUGAUCAUGUACCAGUUUUUCAGUGUUUGGGUCAGAAAUUGUGGCAUUUCUCCUAAGCUAAGUCUGGAAGGAAUUUUACUCUGAGGGUGUGUGUAGAGGAACUGUGUUUUUCUAAAUAUCAAUAAUAUCCUUAAAGCAAACCCUCACUUAGAGUCAAAGGAAUACUUCUGGGAGAACCCUUCUCUGAAGGCCGGACACUUCCUGCCAAAGUGCAUUUCUGUAAGAUACACUAUUGAGGUAUUUGUGGAUGAAAUCAUAAGAACUCUGGGACUUGUUCUAAAAUUCUCCACAAAACAAAGGAAUAAACAAACAUCUGUUGAAAUGAAUAAUUGAAGCAAAAAGAGUGAAAUACUGAUAAAUAUUGAAGCUGGAUGAUGGGCAAUUGGGGAUUCAUUGAACUCUUGGCUGUAAUCUUAUUAAUGUAGUCUGUUAUAACAGCUCCUCCUCUCUUCUCCCCUACAUACCUUAUCUCCACUUCUCCCUCCUUGCUAUUCCUGUGGUAGAACAACUGGGUCUUUUGUCCUUCCCACAUUGUGGAUUUGGCUGUUGCUACCUCAUGGUGACAAAAAAAUAUUACCUAACAGAAAUCCACUAAACUUAGAAAUUAAUCCUACAGGAAUGAGACAGGUCAGGGAUGUUUUAAUGAAAACAGAAGGGAAGAAAAAUGAGUCAUCUGACCCAAAGAAAGGAAUGGCAGUAACAGGGCCACAACCCACAGGGAAGGUGAGGAAAGUGGGGGCUGAAAAGCUGAGGACCUGCAAAGAGAAGCACUGGAGAUAACCUUUGCCUGCUGCUGAUUUCUUAGUUCUUUGUCUUCUAGCACCUUCCCUUCCUCACCCUGCCACCUCAACCCUCAGGCAGAGGGGUAGGGCAGGGGCAGCAGGGGAGGAAGGUGUCAGGGGCAUUUUCCUCAUUCUGGUUGCACUGUUGAGCUAAAACUUAAGGGAUUUGACAAAAAUUAUUUUUCUUGAACCACAUGCUUUUUAAGGGAAAAAAAGUCAAAUACAUUUAAAAUCAAAUCAGUUUUGAAGGGGCAGCAUCUUUAUCAUCUCCCAUCCUUGGGAUUCAUUUCACAUUCAAAUAAAUAAAAAACUACUUGCAAAAAAGCAAAUUACACCUAGAUUUACCCACAAGUGGCAUUUCAUGCCAUGACUUAAUGGCACUUCAUCAACAUGAGCUUUUCUGGGCUCACUGAUUAGUUCUUGGAAUAUGGAAAGUGCCUUACCAUAAUUUUUCAUUAGUUCACAGGUUAUGUCAUUUGGGACCAUGUAAAGUAGCUAAUGUUUUGGUGGUUUUCAAAACCCUGUAUAGCCAAGAAAUUCAAGCACCACGUGCCAGUGACUUCGGGACCAUUUAGACAUCUGAGAUAUGACUGUGAUUAAAGGUUAGUUGUAACAGUAUUAUGAUGUUUUAGAAUCUUUGAAAUGUAUGAGUGCUUAUUUUACUAAUGAUGAUGAGCAUCAGCCCCAGGCCUGUCCUGUGGCUCUGCUGCAGCCAGAAGCUGUGGUUCCCUGCCCAGGCUCACUCACUCCAAGCCCUGCCCCUCAGCUCUUCUCUCUGCUGAGGCGAUGCCUCUGCUGUCCAGGCCUCACAGAGGAGCCUUCCCCAUGCUCUCCAGGGAUAACUGGUAGCAGUCUGCACCCAGGAGAUGCUUGACAACUGAGAAAAUUGAUCUUCCUAGAGAAUUGCCUGGAGGGUUUGUCUGACCUAUCAGUGGGUCUUACCUAGUUUCUAAAAAAUUGAAAUGCAACAGGAUGAAAUAGAAUGGGAAACCAUCAGAGCAUGUGAUAAAGAUAAGUACUAUCUUAUGAAAGCUUUGUUUCAAUUAUUUAUGUGGGUAUAUGUGUGUACUGACACAUAAUGUGAAAUGUAUUUUUAAAUGUGGUUCAAGUCAAAAGGUCUUGAAGAGUGCUGCUCUCAGAAUGUGUAAUUUACCACUGGAGCAAGCCAGACUAGUAAGACUGUUGCUUAGACACAUCACAGUGGCUCUGAAAGAGUGCUUAAACAUUUCCAUAACAAGUUUAAAACAAUGCACACCUUUCCUCUCGUACCUUUACCUUUCUGAGAUAUAUGUGAGCUUAGUGAAUUCCUCUGUUCAGGUAACAAGAGUUAGCAUAUAUUCAGUAUUCAUUCCAUCCACAAACAUUUACUGAGACUGUUCCAGGCACUGAGAAUAUAAUGAUGGGGGGAAAAGUGGAUAGGAAUCCCUAUUUUAGUGAAACUUGUAUUCAAAAGUAGAGGACGAGGCAGGCUAUAAACACGGUAAAUCAGUGAAAUAGAAAAUGUUAAAUGGUUACAAAUGCCAGGGCAAAAAAGUGAAUCCUCCUUUGGGAGGAUAAGGGGGAUAUAUUCUCAAUUUUUCUGCAUAACAUAUUACUACAAACUUGACCAGUUAAAACAGCAUGUUUAUUACCUUACAGUUUUUAUGGUUUGAGGAAUCUGGACACAGCUUCAUCGGAUCCUCUGCCCAGUGUCUUAUAGGACUGCAAUCAACAUGCCACCUGGGCUGAAGUCUCAUUUGAAGAAUUAACUGGAGAAUCAUAUUCUUGCAAGCUCAUUCAGAUUUCCAGGUGAACUCAUUCUCCAAGACACCGUUACAUCAGAAGAAAAUAUCCAAUGAAACUCUCGGAAUCAUUUAAAACAGAUGCGGCCUUCAUCUGCGGUUGCCGGCAACCCUCCCCCAGGGCGGUGGACAGACUUCAGCUUUCCUGGAUCUCUGGGCUGCCGGGGUGAUAUGCCACCAGUGUGGCCCAGCAGGAGGGCGCCUACACUGGAUUGGUCUACAGAGAGGACUGCUGAUCUCAAAUUCACCUUCAAAUGACGCUCAAACAGAGGAGAAACUACACUCAGACCAGGAUGAGAAAACGACACUUCAGGAGACAGCUGACUGAAUAUGCUGGACCUAACCCGCUGCAAGACUCUUCACUUGAGGCUUUCAACUCUAUUGUCCUCUUGUCAAACAACUAAACUAUACCUCUGCCUGAUGGGAAUUAAACAGCUGGUGCUCAGGAUACUGCACUUACAGAGAGAGGGAAGAGGCAACCCAAGGAAGCGGUUUACAUGUGCCCUCUUGUGGUGGACCUGAUCGCCCUGUUUGACGUUCUGACUUCAGGUUGGGGAGGUAAGGCUUAUUUACAUGUGAACUCCUGUGAGGGGCAGAGUAUGGGAAGCCUUAUUAUAUCAGGUCACAUUAAAGAGAAACUGCCCUCUGAAACAUUUGCCUUUUAGUAUGUGUAGCUACAAAUAAGAAUGCAUGGAUAAUUAAGUGAAGGUAAAAAUUAAAAUGGCAGAGAAGAUAGGCAAGCCUUGGAAUUUUCCUAGGUUAUCAACCAUGGACAAGGAAAAUAAACAUCUAGACAAAAAAGCAAACCCAAUAGAAAUAAAAGGAGAAAUAAUAAGAUAAGCAGAAAAGAAUGCUAAAAAGAUCUGUAUUCUUUAAUGAAAAUAAAUGGGCUAUAAUAAUGAUUUUUUAAUAUUAGAGAUUCACUGUAAUCUGAGAAAUGUAGGAGGAAUACUUUGUUCUGUCAAGGUGAAAAUGUAAUGGAAAGAGGGUUCUUAAAAAGACAACAAAAUGAGUGAAAUAUAACACUGCUGUCAAGGAAACUUCUGUCUCUGAGCCUGAGAGGAGAGGAAAGCCUUCUCAUAAAGGAACUGCAACAAUGCCAAUCUCAAUUUAACAAAUUGUGGUCCUUCAAUUUAUAAAGUUUGUAUUGUAGAUGAAAACUGAUUAAGAUCUAUGAGCUAAACUGCAAAAUUCUGACUUAUGGCAAACUGUUCCCUAGAAUACAAUUUUUAAAACCUUUUUUUCUACCACUGAAAUGUACAGAAACGUGAUUACAGAAAUGGCAGUACAAAUGGCAUCACACCAGUGAAUUCACUAGGUUUCUAACUCACCCUGCAAGUGUGCAGGGAACACUGCUUCUAAGACUGGUGACGGGUGCCACGAGUGAGCCGUGGAAACAGGUCAUGGGCGAACAGUUCUGAAUGUUUCAAAGAAACCUUUUAACCCCUGUCUAGAUAUGUCAAGAACAAUUUAUUUACAACUCUUCAGAUCAAUUAAAAGAUAUAAUCUUGUCUCAGUUUCAGCUUGCUCCGUGCAGUUUGAUUUUUAAGGCGAUAUUCCAGUUUGUGAUUGCUCUUAACUUGUCCAGUUUCUUGAAACAAAGUUUGGAUGACAUCCAAAUCCUUCAUGCAGUGGGGGAAAUUUUUUUUCUUUUCUUUUUUUUUCUUUUACUAAAGCUACACUGCACUCUCUGUGAUGUUCUUCAUGUUAUUUUGGUUCUUCCGUAGCUGCCAAAGCCCCCACUGUGUAACAGGGGGCUUUAGGAUCAGUUUAGGUCUGCACUGCGGACACCGUCCGGACCAUGCUUGUUGGACACGUGGGGCUUCACGUCGGUGCUCCCAAGCCUUGGUGCCUCGUGGAUUUAUGCAUGUGACAGUGGAAAUAAAUUAAAACGCCGAGAGACGGAACCUAAGAAGAACGGCCUGCAGGAACCUGAGGUUGAUUGGAGACAAGAUGGCAGAGUAAAAGGACCUUUCAUGAGCAUGCUGGUCACAACUAACUGCUGAACAGCCAUUGAUAAAAGACAGGAAUCUACCAGAAAAGGAUAUUCUGCAUCGAAAGACAUAAGAAGAAACCACGAGAUAGCGGUAGGAGGGGCACGCUCACGAUAUAAUCAAAUCCCUUACCACCCGGGUGGGAGACCCACAAACUGGAGAAUAAUUACAUUACAAAAGUCCUCCCACAACCUAGAAGAAAUAGGCAUAUUCUUAGAAAGGUACAGUCUCCCACGACUGAACCAGGAAGAAGUUAAAAAAAAAAAAAAAAAAAAAAGAACAGCCCAAUGACAAGUACUAAAAUUGAAUCUGUGAUUUAAAAACUCCCAACAAACAAAAGUCCAGGACCAGAUGGUUUCAUAGGCGAAUUCUACCAAACAUUUAGAAAAGAGUUAAUUAACAUCUAUCUUGAAACUAUUUCAGACGAAGGAAAACUUCCAAACUCAUUCUAUGAGGCCACCAUCACCCUGGAUUGAAAGACUCAAUAUUAUCCAAAUGGACUAUAUUCUCUUACAAAGUGCAGUUCCUAUCAAACUUUGGUUUCCCACCUGGGCUCCUACCAUGACCCAGUCUUCUCUUUACUUGUCCUCUUCCCCACCUCUGGUCUCUAUGCAGCAGCCACAGCAAUGUCUCUGAGACAUAAAUUUGAUCAUGCCAUUCCUUUGCUUAAAACUUUUGGUGGCUUCUCACUGCUCUUAAGACUAAGAUCAUUAACAAGGCCCACAAAAGCAUGCCUCGUCUGGCUCCGGCCAGCCUCCCCAGCUUCACCUCUAUUCAUCCCCCUUUCCUCAUCCACACUGGUCUUUGUGCAGUUACUCAAACACACAAGCUCAUUCUGUAUUCUGGGACCAUACAUCAUUGCCGGCUCCUCUGCACCCCCCAGUGAUUCACAUGGUGAGUUCUUUUUCAUUCUUUAGGACUCCUGAAUAUUACCCAAGAGAACCCCAACCCACAGUAGGUACUCUGGUCUCCUUGAGAGCUGCUUGUCCUUUUAUUUCCUCAUAGUGCUUAUCAUUUGGAAUUAAUACUUGGCUGCCCCUUUGAUUAACAUAAGUCUCAAUUAAUAGAUUCUAAGUUUCAUGAGGGUAGUGACCACACUGGUCUUGUGUAUCACAGUGGACUUAACAUCUAGCAUAGUGCUUGACACAAUAAUACCUGUUCACUGUAUAUUUGAAGAAAAACUAAAUCUACUGCACAGAUAGAAAUGGAAGACUUUCCAGAGGGAGGGUGGUGAUGAAAUGAUGAUGACGUCUGCUUGAAGUGUGAGAGGAGAGAAGGAAGUCUGCGGGAAGAGAGCAGAAGGAGGACACCAGUGAUAGGAAGUCCACGGGGAGAGUCCUCAGCUUUCCCUGGUGGCUUCUCGGAGGCAGAGUGUGGAGAGGUUCCCGACCCAAGUCCAUCUGAUACAACAGAUGUGCUUUCCCUCUGUAAUCUUCUCAGUCAUAACAAUAAUAAUGCCUUUGCUUAAAGGAACGCCAUCCCUAUGGAAGCAUGAAGCAGCAUGCCAGUGAAUGUUCAGAUUAGCCCACAGGUGGCUCUUAUUGGCAGCAACAAUUUGUAUAGAAGAGGAAAACAAGUCAAGGAAGAGUUGAUUUUUUUCUGUGCUGAAGGGUAAGGGAGACCCUUGGAAGGAAGGAAGCCAGCCAGGGAUUGUGGCAGGGAAAGAGGAUCUGUCUCCUGCUCUACCUCUUACCUAAUGGCCUCCAGGCUUCCAGCUUGGGCUGACUGGUCCCCCAAACCCUGAAAAAGAGUUCCUGCACUUCUCUCCUCCUCUCAGUGAGGUCUGGGGCCUGAAGCCUAAUGGCUGCCUUUUGGAUUAAGGUGUCCCAGAAAGUAAUAGCACUAUCACCACCAUUGGAAUGACUAAUACUGACAACAGCUAACACGGAUUGAAGUGCUUCCUAGGUACCAGGAACUAUUCUGAACUCUUAAGAGGUAUUUACUCACCUGUAAACUUGCACAUUGACAGAUGGGGAAACCAAGGCACAAAAUUUACCUUGUUCAAGACUACAUAGCAGAAGGUAAUAGAGCAGGGUUGUUGAAUGACUUUCUGAAUGGGGUGAAGUUCUACAAGCUCAGCUAGAAUACUGUCACUAGACUCCUUUGCUAUCAGCUCUUGAUUGGGGCUCAUCUCUUCUAGGGCAGCUCGACAGGAACUCCCAUCUAAAGCACUGUCAGAGGCAGAUCUUUUAUUAAUCCAAAUAGUCUCUGAAAUGCUGUUUGUGUUUGAAUCCUGGUCACGGAGGAACAGUUACCAGAGCUGGGGUGUUGUGUUGAUCUGUGAAAAUGCUGGGCAUAUUAUUAGCUAGAAUCAGAACAGUGAGAUUAGAUGUCUUAAGGUUGGGGAUAAUAUGCUUUAAAAAUAUCCCUCACGUUGUCACACCUUGAACCUGAAUUGAAUUGAAAAUCUCAUCUACAGUGGAAAUAGUCUCUUCAAGUGGUGUUGGAAAAGUUGGAUAGCUGCAUGUAAAUCAAUGAAGUUAGAACACACCCUCACACCAUACACAAAAACUCAAAAUCGCUUUUAAAGACUUAAAUAUAAGACAUAACAUCGUAAAACUCCUAGAAGAGAACACAGGCAGAACAUUUCUGACAUAAACUGCCAGUGUUUCCUUUGAUCAGUCUCCCAAGGCAAUAGAAAAGGAAACAAAUGGGACCUAAUCAAACUUAGAAGCUUAUAAAAGAUGUUCCUUAUUGCUAAUUAUACUAGAGAAAUGCAAAU
Molecule: long non-coding RNA, 9190 nt
Organism: Cervus elaphus (red deer)
Lineage: Eukaryota; Metazoa; Chordata; Mammalia; Artiodactyla; Cervidae
Exons: 6
Source: RefSeq, a predicted model, not a curated record